GGGGCAUAAGCGCAUGCUUACCAUGCAGUCGAACGAUGAAGCCGAGCUUGCUUGGUGGAUUAGUGGCGAACGGGUGAGUAACACGUGAGCAACCUGCCCUGGACUCUGGGAUAAGCGCUGGAAACGGUGUCUAAUACUGGAUAUGAGCUUUCACCGCAUGGUGGGGGUUGGAAAGAUUUUUCGGUCUGGGAUGGGCCUCGCGGGCCCUAUUCAGGCUUGUUGGGUGAGGUAAAUGGCUUACCCAAGGCGUUCGACCGGGUAGCCCGGCCCUGAGAAGGGUGACCCGGCCCACACUGGGGACUGGAGACACGGGCCCCAGACUCCUUACGGGAAGGCAGCCAGUGGGGAAAUAUUGCCACAAUGGGCGGAAAGCCUGAUGCAGCAACGCCCGCGUGAAGGGAUGACGGCCUUUCGGGUUGUAAACCUUCUUUUAGCAGGGAAGAAGCGUGAGUGACGGUACCUGCAGAAAAAAGCGCCGGGCUAACUACGUGCCAGCAGCCGCGGUAAUACGUAGGGCGCAAGCGUUAUCCGGAAUUAUUGGGCGUAAAGAGCUCGUAGGCGGUUUGUCGCGUCUGCUGUGAAAACCCGAGGCUCAACCUCGGGCCUGCAGUGGGUACGGGCAGACUAGAGUGCGGUAGGGGAGAUUGGAAUUCCUGGUGUAGCGGUGGAAUGCGCAGAUAUCAGGAGGAACACCGAUGGCGAAGGCAGAUCUCUGGGCCGUAACUGACGCUGAGGAGCGAAAGGGUGGGGAGCAAACAGGCUUAGAUACCCUGGUAGUCCACCCCGUAAACGUUGGGAACUAGUUGUGGGGUCCUUUCCACGGAUUCCGUGACGCAGCUAACGCAUUAAGUUCCCCGCCUGGGGAGUACGGCCGCAAGGCUAAAAACUCAAAGGAAUUGACGGGGGACCCGCACAAGCGGCGGGAGCAUGCGGGAUUAAUUUCGAUGCAACGCGAAAGAACCUUACCAAGGGCUUGACAUACACGAGAAACACUCUGGAAAACAGGGGGACUCUUUGGGACACUCGUGAAACAGGUGGGUGCAUGGGUUGUCGUCCGCCUCGUGUCCGUGAAGAUGUUUGGGUUUAAGUCCCCGGCAACGAAGCGCAAACCCUUCGUUUCUAUGUUUGCCCAGCAACGUUAAUGGGUGGGAAACUCCAUGGGGAAUACUGGCCGGGGGUCCAACUUCGGAAGGAAAGGUGGGGAUGACGUCAAAUCAUCAUGCCCCUUAUGUCUUGGGCUUCACGCAUGCUACAAUGGCCGGUACAAAGGGCUGCAAUACCGUGAGGUGGAGCGAAUCCCAAAAAGCCGGUCCCAGUUCGGAUUGAGGUCUGCAACUCGACCUCAUGAAGUCGGAGUCGCUAGUAAUCGCAGAUCAGCAACGCUGCGGUGAAUACGUUCCCGGGUCUUGUACACACCGCCCGUCAAGUCAUGAAAGUCGGUAACACCUGAAGCCGGGGCCUAACCCUUGGGAGGAGCCGAUGUAUAUGUAUGCGACAUCCCCA
RNAcentral lists this ribosomal RNA (1503 nucleotides) under Microbacterium sp. RNAcentral's name for it is "bacterial SSU rRNA". It matches the Rfam family "Bacterial small subunit ribosomal RNA". The record is from RNAcentral. Lineage: Bacteria; Bacillati; Actinomycetota; Actinomycetes; Micrococcales; Microbacteriaceae.